Danio rerio (zebrafish) is the source of this 6075-nucleotide long non-coding RNA. The record is from Ensembl. NCBI's taxonomy places the organism in Eukaryota, Metazoa, Chordata, Actinopteri, Cypriniformes, Danionidae.
UGAUAACAUUAACACCUUUGUUUUACACACUUGGAAAUAAUUGAUUGUUUUACAGUUUUCAUUUUUUAAUUCUGUAUCAGUGUAUUUGGUCAUUAACUGGCAUUAAAUCAUAAAGAGAGAGACUAAACUUUACAGAUUAAUAAUUGUCGCAUAAAGGAAAAAAAUAUUCAGCGGGCUGCCCUCGGUACAGACUGCCCACGCGCCUGCUGAGGGAGGGGGAGAGAAGUAAAAGUUUAUCAUUUUCAUAAAUUCAUAACGAUGGUCAAGUCUCAAUUAAACAACAUAAAACGUUUAAUGAAAACGUUUUACAAUAGUCAUUUACCCGAACAGUGAUUAAUGCGUCUUCAUUUAAAACACAAAAGACCGGGCGCCUUGGACGCUCGAGACUGCUUCAUUAUAAUUAAUGUCUCCGGUUCCUCGUGCACCCGGAGGUCGCGAAUAGCUCCGUCCCGCGCCCACUGAUCUCUGAAGAUCUGACACGAGAGGGAUCUCGCCGGCUAUUGCAACCUGACAAGAUCUGUAAUACUUGGGUGAUGAAUCGUUCCAAACUUUUUUGACGAUGCUGGCAGCUCGGGGCUGUGCGCAUGUGCGAAGGUGUCCAAACUGACAAUGCUGGAGAGAUAGUGCGUCUGGGAUUGAGAAUCACAGAGAAAAAGGACAGAGGAAAAAAGAAAAAGGAGGAAAAGAUUCGAGAAAAAAUCCGACGAACCCACGCCGAAAGACGGGCAUCAUGAGGUCCAAAGGCAGGGCAAGGAAACUGACCACUGGAGAUGGAGAGGACUUUUCUGUUUUUGCCUCUGAUGACCUGGAAGAAAUUGGUGGAGUGUCUGAUGCAGAUCUGCUCCCAUUGGCCCCUGUUGAUGAUCUUCCCUCUCCCGGCCUAUCGGGUGAUGCGGUUUCCCCAGUCACCCCUUCUCCCUACUACCCAUCGUUCCACACUUCAAUGUACCAACCCAACGAUGCGGUCGAAGCGGUUCCCCCAGACUUUGAGCUCCGUGAGUCUGCCGCUUUCAGAGGAAACCUGGGUGUCUGGACCCGCAGGAGACUGGAGGUGGGAGAACGUCUGGGACCCGAUGAGGGAACGUCAAGACACAGCCUGGAAAACGCCACCCAGGGAUGGGAGGGUGAACAGGCAGGUUUGGAUGGGAGCGUGUGUGAUAGCAGGAGCUGGCUAAGGCACGUCCAGAUCUCACCAUCCACCCACCAACACAACCUCACAGCCUGCCAGAUACAUGAGCAGGUAUGUGGAGAACGCACACACACAAACACACACAUGCACUCAGAGCACCUGCAUGGUGGAUAUAAUGAAGUGUUUAAAGGUGUUUCUGCUAUCUUUAAUAGCAGAUUCCUGCCGCAUUCUCGCUCUGUGCGUGUGUCACUGUGUUUUGGUGUUUUGCUCUUUUGUAUCUUGGCUGAAGCGUGAAGGACCACAGGCCAGGAUCACACACACACUCUCUCGGUCAAGCAUGAGGAUAAUCACACAUUUUGUAUCUUUGCACUCGGAUAUGGGGGACGACAAAUUCCUGAAUCCUUACGGAGUGAAAGACAGAGAAAGAGACUCUGAGAGAGAAAAUUACAUCCAUACAUUCACAGCUUUUGUUCUAUGACUUAUUUGCACACAACAACUUAUUUGCACUUUAGCUGAUUGCUCUUUAAGGGUCAAAUAAUUUCUUCAAGGUUAGGUUUUACUCACUUUGGCAUGUUUUAUAGUUAAACUAUUGAAAUGUUUACAACUGAGAACUUUUUAUGCUCGCAUUUGAGGAGAAACUGGAUUAAAUGAAGUUUCAUUGAGUUAUAGUGAACUGAGUUUUGGUGGAUUAAAUUGAGUAAAGAGGGUUAAGUCAAGUUGAGUUGGGUUGAGCUGGAUUAAACCUACUUUUAUUGACUUGAGUUGAACUGGAAUUAAUUUAGAGAAAAUCUACUUUAUACAUUUUUGGCCUUUACGCUUGCAUGUGAGGGACUGCAAAUUUCUAAAUCAUUAUGAAAUGAAAGACUGAUCUUGAAAGAAUUAAACUUUUGGUUCACAUUGGAGGAAAAACAAGUAGUCAGACUGGAUUAAAUAGAGUUUUGUUGAUUUAUAGUUAAGUGAGUUUGACUGGAUUCAUUUAGAUUGUAAACCGUAUUGAAUCUAAAUUGAAUUGUCAAUAAAUCAACUUCCUUUUAUCUGGAGAUAACUGAGUUAAAUAGGUUUAAGUCAAGUUGAGCUGGAUUAAACAUACUUUCAUUGAGUUGAGUUGGACUGGAAUUAAUUUAGAGAAAAUCUAUUAUACAUUUUGGGCCUUUACACUUGCAUGUGAGGGACUGCAAAUUCCUAAAUCAUUAUGAACUGAAAGACUGAUCUUGGGAAUAAGGUUUUAUCCCAUUCUGGACACAGAGUUUGAUUGUUUCCUCAUUAAGGGUUUUUUAUUUUGGUAUGUAAAAAGGAUCAAUUAUUAACAUUUACAAUUAAACAUUUGCUUUUUGUUCACAUUGGAGGAAAAACAAGAAGUCAAACUGGAUUAAACAGAGUUUCAUUGACUUAUAGUGAAGUGAGUUUGACUUGUUUCAGUUAGAUUGUAAACUGUAUUGAAUAAAAAUUGAAGUAGGAAUAAAUUGACUUUCUGUGAUCUGGAGUAAACUGAGUUGAAUAGGGUUAAGUGAAGCUGAGCUGAGUUCAGUUCAAAUGAGCUGAGCUGGAUUAAAUCUACUACUUUAAUCUAAAUCUGGAUUUAAUCUACUCUUCUACUUUUUUUGAGUUGAGUUGGACUGGAAUUAAACGGACUGGCAUAAAUUCUGAGACAAAAUGUUGUAUCUUUGCACUGGGAUAUAUAAGGGUUGAUAAAUUCCUAAAUCCUUUAAAACUGUGGCAAUUCAGAUUCAGAGCUUAUCUGUAACAUUUACUGAUUAAAUGAUUCCCGCAAGGUUAUUUUGUGAAAAUGUGUGCAUGUUUUAAAUGCUAAAUUAGUUUACCUAAUAAAAUGUAAAAGCUUUUUGUGUUCAUAUUUGAGAAAAGAGUAAGUAGUCAAACUGAGUUUCACUGAGCACUCAACAAAAUGAUGAUAAUAUUUUUUGCUGCUUGUUAAAAAACUACUUACUUAGAAUGAGCUGAAACAACACAAUUCCUGAGAUUUUUGGGGACAACUUAAUUGUUUUAUGUUCAAUUCACUUAAGUCUGUCAAAAACAUUUAACUUAACUUAAUUGGUUUGUGUUGGGACAACAUUAAUGAAUAUUGCGGAAGCCUGCAUUUUUUACAGUGAGUGUUGACUAAAUUCAAUUGCAAACUCAGUUCUUUAAACUUAUUCAGAAAUUCAUUGAAUUGAAUUGAAAUUGGAAUAUAUUGAGUAAAAAAAGGGUCCAAUUGCACUUUGUAAAACUACUUAUUUAGAAUGAGACGAGGAUUUUAGUCGAGUUUAGUUGAGUUUGACUUUAGUAUAAGUUUUAUCCGUUAUUCUGUAAGUUGCAAAAUAGGGCUGUACACAUCAGCAAUAGUCACAAUGUUGAGGUGGGAUUAUAGUUGACUAAGAGCCACAGUUGAGUUGACACAAAAUUUAUGGGUUCAUUGCAAAGUUUGACCAUAAAGUUACCCAAAAACAUUAUCAUGUUUAUGUGUUUUUAAGAUUGUGUAAGAAUUUAAAGCAUUCAGGCACAAGAAAUUACAUCCUGUAUGUAACUUUAAGAAAGAUUCAUUGUAUUUACUGUAAGUGUAUAUAUACUACAAAAAUUAUUUUACAGUUGAUUAUUCAAUUUCUGUGCCUGAAUACUCAUAGACUCCCAGAAAAACACUGUGGUGGUGGUGGUGGUGGUGGUGUUUUUUUAUUUGUAUCUUUGCUCAGCUGAUUUGAUCAAUGCUCAUGAUUGGUUUAUUCAAAGAUAUCUUUUGGCAAUUCGUAACUAAUUGAUUUAGUCAAAUUUGUAGGAUCUCAUUCAUACAAUUUAGUAAACUCAAAAAAACUGAUUUUGCUGCUUGUUUAAAUUUUUAAAUUGUUUUUGUGACAACUUAAUUGUUUUAUUUUUAGUCCACUUAAAUUUGUUAAUCGAUUUGUGUUGAGACAACCUGAAUAAAUUGUGUGACAUCCUACAUUUUUUACAAUGUAUGAUUUGCUCAUCUUCCAAUGACGGUUGGGUUUAGGGGAGGGGUUUGGUUUUUCGUGAACACAUAAAUUAAUUCAUUCUUUUUCCUUCAGCUUACUCCCUUUAUUCAUCAAGGGUCACCACAGCGGAAUGAACCGCCAACUUAUCCAGCAUAUGUUUUACACACCUAAUACCCUUCCAGCUGCAACCCAAUACUGGGAAACUGAACUCAUAUAAAUUUGUCCAAAUUUAUCCACUAAACUGACAAAACCUAAAAUAGUUACAUUUCCUCAUGAGAUCAGGCUGGUUUAUCAUAUUUUAAUCAUCCUAAUCGAUGUAAAAUGAGCAAUUCUUUCCAAAUAGCACUAUUCACGUCAUCAGAUGAAAUUAUAUUCAAUAUCCCAAAAUUUGCUGAAAAACAAAUAUUGCAUUGCAUAUGCAUUUUUUCCAAUAUCAUGCUGCCCUAUUAUAAAAUGAAUAGUCAUACGAUCCAUACAUACUAUCCGGAUUAUAUUGGCAAUAUCAAACUAUUCUGAAUACUGUAUGUUAAUCAUACAGUGAGAUAUUCAAUCAUUAUGAAAUUAACUUAUUAUAUUCCUGUCCAUAACAAGGGCUCUGGAAGCAAUUAUAUAUAUCCAUAUUCAGCUUUUGCAAAGUGAGAUGCGCUAACGGAAUUAGCUUAAACUGUGGAUCAGUCCCAAGUGUUUUCGAUGUUUGACAGGCUGACGAGUGACGGAAAAGCAGGACAAUGCCAUUUCUGGGAGGUCUGAAUUUUCUACAUAUUUGACUCUAAAGGUUUACAUAAAGAGCAACUAGAUGAGAGGGAGGAAGAGAACCUGUUCAGACACAGCAUUAUGAUAUGGGACAUAAUUGUUAAACUAUGACACCUUGUCAUAACAAAGAGUUCAGCUUAGACUUUAUGGCUUCCGGCAACCCACAUGUUUUUAUAAUCACGCCGUAGCUCUUUAUAGACACAAAAACCUGCAGAGGGAGAGAGAUACAAAAGACGCACCGCUAUCGCUUUUCUGAAAGAACAGAGAAUUGGUUGAGAGGAAUGUGCUCUUCUUUUCCUAAUUUUCCAUUUACAACAUUCCUUAAAAGGGGAAUUCACCCAAAAAUGACAAUUCAGUCAUCAUUUGCUCACUCUUUCCUUGUUGUGAACCUGUUUCUUUCCUCUGUUGAACACAAAAGACGCAGUUUUGGAAAAUGUUUAGCAUUGACGACCAUAGUACAUGUUUUUUUUCUACUAUGGAACUCAAUGGUUACCCAUUUCUAACGUUCUUCAAAAUAUCUGCUUUUAUGUUCAGCACAAAAGAGAAACGCAUAAAUAUUUGGAAUCGCUUGAGAGUGAGUACACUUUCAUUUCACGAUGAACUGUCCCUUUAAGAUGUUGAAGAGUUUUAGAAGAAUUUACUAUUUUGAUGUUAAACCAUUCAAACAAUAAAGAAUUUCGAUUCUCUGGAAGUGAAGUAUAAGUUAACUCUCAUAAUGCAUUCAGGUGUGUUAUUAACAAGAGAUAUAUUUAAAUAAAAAUAAAAAAAACACACAUUUUAGGAGAAAAAGAUAACUUUAUUUCUUUUUUAAAUACACAACUUUUUAUUUAAAAAUCAUAAAAACAUAUAUUCAUUCAUUCAUUUUCUUGUCGACUUAGUCCCUUUAUUAAUCCGGGGUCGCCACAGCGGAAUGAACCGCCAACUUAUCCAGCAAGUUUUUAUGCAGCGGAUGCCCUUCCAGCCGCAACCCAUCACUGGAAAACAUCCACACACUCAUACACGGACAAUUUAGCCUACCCAAUUCACCUGUACCGCAUGUCUUUGGACUGUGGGGGAAACCGGAACACCCGGAGGAAACCCACACAAACGCAGGGAGAAGAUGCAAACUCCACACAGAAACGCCAACUCAGCCGAGGCUCAAACCAACGACCCAGCGACCUUCUUGCUGUGAGGCGACAGCACAACCUACUGCGCCACUGCUUUGCCCUAAAAACAUAUAUUAAAAAUUAUUAUUUGUUAUCCAAGUUAUAU